AUUGAACGCUGGCGGCAGGCCUAACACAUGCAAGUCGAGCGAGUGGCGGACGGGUGAGUCAUGUCUGGGAAACUGCCUGAUGGAGGGGGAUAACUACUGGAAACGGUAGCUAAUACCGCAUACUAUCGGAUGUGCCCAUAUUGGAUUAGCUAGUAGGUGGGGUAAAGGCUCACCUAGGCGACGAUCCCUAGCUGUGCUGAGAGGAUGACCAGCCACACUGGAACUGAGAAACGGUCCAGACUCCUACGGGAGGCAGCAGUGGGGAAGAGUGCACAAUGGGCGCAAGCCGGAUGCAGCCAUGCCGCGUGUAUGAAGAAGGCCUUAGGGUUGUAAAGUACUUUCAGCGGGGAGGCGUUACCCGCAGAAGAAGCACCGGCUAACUCCGUGCCAGCAGCCGCGGUAAUUC
This 406-nucleotide ribosomal RNA is filed under the name uncultured bacterium. Its description in RNAcentral is "partial 16S ribosomal RNA". It matches the Rfam family "Bacterial small subunit ribosomal RNA", at positions 30 to 526 of the family's 1533-position model. The record is from RNAcentral.